UGGGAUGUGGCUUAGUGGUAGAGUACUUGCCUCGUAUGUAUGAAGCCCUGGGUUCAAUCCCCAGCACCAA
This 70-nucleotide transfer RNA is filed under the name Urocitellus parryii (Arctic ground squirrel). RNAcentral's name for it is "Spermophilus parryii (Arctic ground squirrel) tRNA". It matches the Rfam family "tRNA". From Rfam's summary of the family: Transfer RNA (tRNA) molecules are approximately 80 nucleotides in length. Their secondary structure includes four short double-helical elements and three loops (D, anti-codon, and T loops). The record is from Rfam by way of RNAcentral. Lineage: Eukaryota; Metazoa; Chordata; Mammalia; Rodentia; Sciuridae. RNAcentral also lists the same sequence under 1 other name.